CAGAGUAUUUUUACUCUUGUCCUUUGUGAAUCUCUUCUGUUGCUUUGGCAGGGAGCGGCGAGGCCGUUAAUUGUCGUGGUUGUGAUGACCCUGUGCCCUGCCGAAGAAUUUUUUACACACGUUUUAGUGGUUGUCUCAGUCAUCCAAAACCCUAA
This 155-nucleotide unclassified non-coding RNA is filed under the name uncultured fungus. RNAcentral describes it as "sequence contains ITS1, 5.8S rRNA gene". Lineage: Eukaryota; Fungi. The record is from RNAcentral.